Transfer RNA from Cavia porcellus (domestic guinea pig), 64 nucleotides. It matches the Rfam family "tRNA". Rfam says of the family: Transfer RNA (tRNA) molecules are approximately 80 nucleotides in length. The record is from Rfam. Lineage: Eukaryota; Metazoa; Chordata; Mammalia; Rodentia; Caviidae.
GGGGAUUUAGCUCAGCGGCAUAAGCACCUGCCUUGCAAGCAGGUGGUCGUGAGUUCAAUCCCUA